Long non-coding RNA from Anolis carolinensis (green anole), 1128 nucleotides. RefSeq lists it as uncharacterized. NCBI's taxonomy places the organism in Eukaryota, Metazoa, Chordata, Lepidosauria, Squamata, Anolidae. The record is from RefSeq and is a predicted model, not a curated record. The transcript has 3 exons.
AUGGAGUGCUUUUAAAAAGUAACUUUCAAAUUUUUCUGUAGUCUUCAGACAAGUACUGAGGUUCUUCCAACUCCUCAACUUGGCACAAACAAUUCCUCUUCUCUCAACUAUUCCUAGCAAAGCUUUGCCAGCUAUUGAAUUGUUUGUUGUAGGUAAGAAUUCUUUAAAUAGUCCACAAGCUUUAAGAAUGGAGAAAGAGUCACCAUAUGGAAAAAUGCCAGGUAGUUCUUCAUUAGAAUUACUUAAGGGUGACCUUUGAUGUACUUGAUCAAUUGCAUGAGUCACUAUUUCUGAGAAUUGCAAAUGAUUUUACAUCUCCCCUCCUCUGCUCCAGAUUGCUUCCUUUGCUGGAAAGUGUGCUAUUGAAGACAUCACUUUUCUCAUCUGCUCUGGGCUUCAUUUGCAGGCUUCAUUGAAACAUUUCAUUGCAUCUGAUACCCUUCUUUUUAAAAUAGAAACAAAAACCUGAGCAAUUUUUGAUGCAUUGGACUGAGUGGAUAUAUUAGAAGCUUUGUGGCAAAGGCGUUGCUUUAUGUUCUAUAAAGGUAUUCAGAGAUGACUGGUUACUUGGUGGUAUGCUUUCUACCUGAAUGCAGGAAGAAUACAUUGAUAGGUAGAAAUGAGGAAAGAAGUUAGUCACCGUUGCAGAAUGCAGAGCCUUGUUAGCAUGGUACUUUUAAUAGUGCCAUCCAUUUGAGAAGAACAAUGAAACACUGAAACAGAGAUAUUGAAACAGACGGCAUAAAAGAGGUUUGCUUUUAGCUGCUGCUCAUUAAUUUUAUCUGGAACUCAAGUAGUAUGCUAAGUAAGAGAAGGAGUGCUUUAUAACACUGGAAUUUGAUUUCCACUAUGCACAAUUUUAUUGUAUUCAUCUGACUUCACAUACACCUGUCCACAUGUAACAUAAUGCAAAUUCAUAGAGAAAUAUAGACCCAAACAAAUGGGCUGUUUUAUCUGGAAAAGAGCCAGAAGCAUUAGUCUAUUAUUUUUUCAGGCUUUCUCUGAGUUUUCAGUGAUGGAUUUUCAAGAUGAAAAUAUGUAUGUAUUUAAUAUGUAUUUAGCAACAUUCAUAACAUUCAACAUUCAAUAUUCAUAAUAUUAUAUUGUAAUACGAUAUAAUACGAUAUA